GCGGUGGUCCCACCUGACCCCAUGCCGAACUCAGAAGUGAAACGCCGUAGCGCCGAUGGUAGUGUGGGGUCUCCCCAUGCGAGAGUAGGG
This 90-nucleotide ribosomal RNA is filed under the name Pantoea agglomerans. The record is from RNAcentral. Lineage: Bacteria; Pseudomonadati; Pseudomonadota; Gammaproteobacteria; Enterobacterales; Erwiniaceae. RNAcentral also lists the same sequence under 2 other names.